CGGCGAGUGAAGCGGCAACAGCUCAAAUUUGAAAUCUGGCCUCACGGUCCGAGUUGUAAUUUGCAGAGGAUGUCUCGGGCGCGAUACCGGUCUAAGUUCCUUGGAACAGGACGUCACAGAGGGUGAGAAUCCCGUACGUGACCGGUGGUUAACCCCAUGUGAGGCUCCUUCGACGAGUCGAGUUGUUUGGGAAUGCAGCUCUAAAUGGGUGGUAAAUUUCAUCUAAAGCUAAAUAUUGGCCAGAGACCGAUAGCGCACAAGUAGAGUGAUCGAAAGAUGAAAAGCACUUUGGAAAGAGAGUUAAAAAGUACGUGAAAUUGUUGAAAGGGAAGCGCUUGCAACCAGACUUGCCCGCGGGUGAUCAACCGUCCUUCGGGGCGGUGCACUCGCCCGUGAUCAGGCCAGUAUCGGUUUCAGCAGCCGGACAAAGACUUCGGGAACGUAGCUCCUCUCGGGGAGUGUUAUAGCCCGUCGUGUAAUACGGUUAGUUGGGACCGAGGACCGCGCUUCGGCUAGGAUACUGGCGUAAUGGUUGUCAGCGACCCGUCUUGAAACACGGACCAAGGAGUCUACCAUCUAUGCGAGUGUUUGGGUGUUAAACCCAUGCGCGUAAUGAAAGUGAACGGAGGUGGGAACCCUUCGGGGGGCACCAUCGACCGAUCCUGAUGUCUUCGGAUGGAUUUGAGUACGAGCAUAGCUGGUGGGACCCGAAAGAUGGUGAACUAUGCGUGAAUAGGGUGAAGCCAGAGGAAACUCUGGUGGAGGCUCGCAGCGGUUCUGACGUGCAAAUCGAUCGUCAAAUUUGCGUAUAGGGGCGAAAGACUAAUCGAACCAUUAUUCCUCGCGACUAGGUGGUUAAUCAAAGAUAUGCGAAAGCGUAUCGUGGAAGUUCGCUUCGGCGGACGAUACNGUCAAUGUGUGGNUUAUAGGACCNGGUAGNNCCCGUAAANANNNNNNNNNNNNNNNNNNNNNNNNNNNNNNNNNNNNNNNNNNNNNNNNNNNNNNNNNNNNNNNNNNNNCUUUGAGAUGGCCCGAGACCACUUUGUUAUAAAAGUGUGUGAUAUCGCUAGUAGCUGGUUCCUGCCGAAGUUUCCCUCCAGGAUAGCAGUAACGUUUUCAGUUUUAUGAGGUAAAGCGAAUGAUUAGAGGCCUUGGGGCAGAAACUGCCUUAACCUAUUCUCAAACUUUAAAUAUGUAAGAAGUCCUUGUUACUUAGUUGAACGUGGACAUUUGAAUGCACCGUUACUAGUGGGCCAUUUUUGGUAAGCAGAACUGGCGAUGCGGGAUGAACCGAACGUGAGGUUAAGGUGCCGGAAUAUACGCUCAUCAGACACCAUUUUGUGGUGUCGACCCCCGGGGCUUAUGUGCCCCGGGCGAGUCGUCUGAUUUCCAGGCGGCGAGGUCUCCGAUCUACGUGGAGUGCUGGCCCCCAGCUCACCCGUAGCCCCGUGGGAUACACGGGGCCUACAGAUCAAGGGCAGGCCGGUGGACCCCCAGGGGCUCACUCAAGAUAUGACCGUUCCCCAGGUGCGAGCCCGGGGGUGAAAAGCAAAAGGUGUUAAUUCAUCUAGACAGCCGGACGGUGGCCAUGGAAGUCGGAAUCCGCUAAGGAGUGUGUGAGAUGUUGCACACUGUACAGCGCGUGUCGCUAGCGAGGGGCCCCGGAAAGCCCCCCGUGACAGCUCCAGGAUGCUAGGAUGCGCCCCGGCCAAGGGGUGCAACUCGCAGUGGGGGGAUCCCCCCAUCCACAGACUAGACGGAGCAGACCGCGGGCGAACCCCGCGGUUGAGAUAUAGUCGUUUACGGGCCCCGGGAGGGUGCCUAUCCGCUAGAACAACUCACCGGCCGAAUGAAUUAGCCCUGAAAAUGGAUGGCGCUCAAGCGUGUUACCCAUACCUCGCCGCCAGGGUAGAAACGAUGCCCUGGCGAGUAGGCAGGCGUGGGGGUCAG
Molecule: ribosomal RNA, 1950 nt
Filed under: Xylographa pallens
Lineage: Eukaryota; Fungi; Ascomycota; Lecanoromycetes; Baeomycetales; Xylographaceae
Description: partial 28S large subunit ribosomal RNA
Rfam family: Eukaryotic large subunit ribosomal RNA
Source: RNAcentral